AGUGAACGCUGGCGGUAGGCCUAACACAUGCAAGUCGAACGGCAGCACAGUAAGAGCUUGCUCUUACGGGUUGCGAGUGGCGGACGGGUGAGGAAUACAUCGGAAUCUACUUUUUCGUGGGGGAUAACGUAGGGAAACUUACGCUAAUACCGCAUACGGCCUACGGGUGAAAGCAGUGGAUCUUCUGACCUUGCGCGAUUGAAUGAGCCGAUGUCGGAUUAGCUAGUUGGCGGGGUAAAGGCCCACCAAGGCGACGAUCCGUAGCUGGACUGAGAGGAUGAUCAGCCACACUGGAACUGGGACACGGUCCAGACUACUACGGGAGGCAGCAGUGGGGAAUAUUGGACAAUGGGCGCAAGCCUGAUCCAGCCAUACCGCGUGGGUGAAGAAGGCCUUCGGGUUGUAAAGCCCUUUUGUUGGGAAAGAAAAGCAGCAGGUUAAUACCACGCUGUUCUGACGGUACCCAAAGAAUAAGCACCGGCUAACUUCGUG
Molecule: ribosomal RNA, 492 nt
Filed under: uncultured bacterium
Lineage: Bacteria
Description: partial 16S ribosomal RNA
Rfam family: Bacterial small subunit ribosomal RNA
Source: RNAcentral